RNAcentral lists this ribosomal RNA (395 nucleotides) under uncultured bacterium. RNAcentral describes it as "bacterial SSU rRNA". It matches the Rfam family "Bacterial small subunit ribosomal RNA", at positions 29 to 418 of the family's 1533-position model. The record is from RNAcentral.
AACGAACGCUGGCGGCGCGCCUAAUACAUGCAAGUCGAGCGAGAAGACGUAGCAAUACGUUUGUAAAGCGGCGAACGGGUGAGGAAUACAUGGGUAACCUACCCUCGAGUGGGGAAUAACUAGCCGAAAGGUUAGCUAAUACCGCGUACGCUCCUUGGACUUCGGUUCAGGGAGGAAAGCGAUACCGUGGGUAUCGCGCUCUUGGAUGGGCUCAUGUCCUAUCAGCUUGUUGGUGAGGAACGGCUCACCAAGGCUUCGACGGGUAGCUGGUCUGAGAGGACGAUCAGCCACACUGGCACUGCGACACGGGCCAGACUCCUACGGGAGCAGCAGUAAGGAUAUUGCGCAAUGGGCGAAAGCCUGACGCAGCGACGCCGCGUGGGGAUGAAGGUCUU